UCUGAAAACUCAACACCACUGGCUUAUUUGUCACGCGAAUCAGUGACUAAUACAAGGGAAAAUGUAUAAUGAAGUACUGGAGUGGGAAAUAUGAAACAUCAGUUAAGUUCUGGAGACAUUCAGAAGCAGCACGGCAAGUCGGAAAGCAAGACAGACAGGGUGCUUAGCAACCAAGCAUUUCAGCGAUGCCAUUUUUAAACAGGACUUACUUGGCUAGGACGGUGGACGUGGUGGGCUGUGGGUUAACAAGGGGGAAGUCUGCAGUGGGGGCGGUGCAAACAGCGGCAGAACAGCCGCGCCUGGGGUCCUGCCUGUCACAGCUGGCCUCGGAGUCAUUUCUAUCUGGCACGUGGAAGAAAACCUCUGAAGAGGGCAGCUCUGACUGCCAUGCAAAUACAUUUUCCUGCAACCGUGGAGACCAUGGCGGAUGCGUUUUGGUAGCGGUAGGAGCCAGCGUUAUUGAGUGUACUGUGAGGGUGAGUGAUCCGGGAUUGUGGGAGACAGUUGAAGUUUGGGGACUUGAUCUGGAAAAGAGACCACGGAGGGGGGGGGGCUGGGCCAGUAUGGAGCCUGUGCAAGGAUGGGCCUGGAAGAGACAUGACUCCAGGUAGUGGUACAGCCAAGAAGACAUCAGAGGAGGGACAGCUUGUGUGGCUGCUUCCUGUGGGAAGUUCUGCCCUCCAUCAGGCAAACUCCUCCAGCAGUAAAGUUUUAAUCAAACUGCAGCAUUAAGGAAGCACCUGAUGGGAAGGGCUUGCUUUCUUGUGCAGGCAUUACAGUGGGUGAGGGCUGCAGACAUAACCCUGUGCAAAUGCUGCUGGGUGGACACCUUGCUUUGGUCCCUUUUGAGAUUCCUGGAGUUUGCGGUAGCACUCUUGAGACACUUUCUCAUAUCCCCUUGCUCUGUUUCAGCGGGUAGGGAGGGUGUGUGUUUUUAAUGUCUCCAGAGUAAAGAACGCUGUACUUAUCAUCAGAUGACUUCGGUUUGAGUCUCGACACUGCCUUUGAACUCUGUCAGGUUACCCAGAAGAAGACUUCUCUGUCCUGUGGAAAGAGUGACUCCUGCCCUUCACACGCAGCUGAGGGCAAUCAAUUUAAGUCAUGCAUUUGAAGUGUUUUGGGAUAAUAAAUAUUUUACAACCAUCUUUUUGUAAUUAUUAGUCAUUUUUUGUUUCUAAUUUUUUAUGUUUUUUUGUCUUCACAUCUCUCCAUUAUUUCUGCCUGGCAUCCUUGCAGGAAAGGAAGGAAGCUGAGAACCCUGGUCCCAGAAGCCAGGCCAUCUCCACCAAGUGACUGAGGAAGGGGAAGGGGCCCCAUUUGAGAUGCUCAGGUCCAGAGAGGAAAUCCAAAGCCAAAGCCCAGGCCAGCUCUGGCUGGGUUCUGAUGGCAGACAGGCCUCAGUGUAGGUCAAGGCUCAGUCUAGGAUCUGGGUACAAUCAGACAUCAGGACUGGAGCUCAGUGUGGGCUGCAGACUUUGGUCUGAAGCUGGUAUGAAGGCUCCAAUAGGGCUGGGACUGUCUGGCAUUGGAUCAGUCAGAGUUGUUAUUUUCUUCAGUUUUUAUUUUUUUUAUUAGUGCAUGUUUUCAAUGCAUAAUGAUUACAUUCACGGAGUACUAUUCUGCCAUAAAGAAGGAUAAACUUGAGUCAUUUGUAGGAAAAUGGAUGUGCCAUGAGACCGUGAUGUUAAGUGAAAUAAAUUUAAGUAUUGCAUGGUUUCUCUUAUAUGAGAAACCCAAAACAUAAAGAAAGAGCAAGAGAGUUAGUAAUUUUUAAAUGGUACUGUUACAGUUUGUAUCCGAAUGUCCCCUCAAAGCCUGAUGCAGUCAGGGAGCAGGUUUCUAGAGUUUACAAUUAAUUUACUGUCAAAUGUUGGAAUUAUGGAUGUGAGUGCUACACCUGCCCUGGGGUGGGUAGUUUGCAUACAAUGUAAGGGAGGGAAAGAGGCUGCUUGCCGCAGCUCCUCCCUUGUGCUCUUGCUGCUUUUGCUAUCUUCCACUGCUAUGAACUGUUGCCUUCUGCCAUGUUCCACUCUGCCUUGGAGCCAGCUGAGUAUGCACUGAAACCUCCACAAACAGUAAGCUAAAUAAACCUUUUCUUCCUUCAAUUUGGGUGUAAGUUAUUUUGUCUCAGCAACGAGAGAAAAGUAACCAAGACAGGUACUGUGGACUGAAUUGUACCCCCCACCAAAGAUAUGUUGAACUUUUAAGGUCCAGUAUCUCUUAGCUGGAUCUUCUUUGAAAUAGGGUCCUUGCAGAUGUGCAUAGUUUAGAUGAGGUCCUGCUGGAGUCAUAUGGGCCCUUUAUCCACUAGGACUGAUGUACUCAUGUAGAGACAGAGGCACUGGGAAAAUGAAAAGAUGGAAGGACAGACUGGGGCAAGGUAUCCGUAAGCCAAGAAAGGCCACAGCACAGACUUGUUCUCAGAAGGAAUCAGUUUCUGCUGACAUCUGUAAAACUGUGAGAAAAUGAAUUUUUAUGGUUCUAAACCAUGCAGUUUGUGGCACUGUGUUACAGCAACCUGGGAAAUUGAUACAGAUGGUGAGUUAUUUGAAUCAAGAGAAAUGUAAGGAAGUUUUAAUAACAAUAUCUCAUUUCUUCUAUUUUGAUCUUUAUUUGUAUAUAUAUUUUGAGUUUCUCAUAUAAGAGAAACUGUAUGAUAUUUAAGGUCAUGUGUCUGACUUAUUUCACUUAACAUUAUAUUCUCCAGUUGCAUCCAUAGGAGAUAGAUCAGUAGAAAAUAGGGAGAAGUUCAAAUAAUUCCCUAAGUUAUCUGCUACAUUGUUUCAAAAAUAUUUUAAUACACAUGCUCAUUUGUUUCAGUUAUGGUACUAGUUUAUCUUACUUCAUUGAAAAGAAAGUUUUGUGCUGUUACCUGUUUAAUUCUUCUUUGUAGGACAGUCUUUUUUUGUCUGUCUUCCACUCCUAGUAGCUACUUUUCAGAUUAUUAUACACAGUAUUAACUCUUGUGAUUUUGUUACAAAAUUUUAUUUUUUCAUAAAAUAAAAGAAACAAAAUCCAAUUUCUAGAUAGUGCUUAUCCUACGACUGCACUACUUUUUUUUUUUUUUUUUUGGUCUUUCUCCGGUACCAGGAACCGAACUCACAACCUUACGCUUGCCAGGCAGGCGCUUUGCCACUGAGCUAAAUCCCCAACCCCUGCUGCACUACUUUCAAAGGAAUAUAAUCUCAUUCCUGCAGCUACCCUAUAGCAUAAGUAAAUUUUCUCUCAAUUUAGGAGUACCCUGAGGCUUACAGGCAUCAGUAACUCAGCCGGGAGACAUUUUAACACUCUUCUCUUUCUCCUACCCGACAGCACCUUUGUUUAGGUUAAUCAGCUUUUCCUGGUAGAGGUGCACUUUUCUAAGAGAGGUAAGGUAUGCUUCUUCCUCUGCUUCCCCGUAUGUAGCUUGCUCCCAACAUCUGUAAUUGAUGUGGAGUAACCUUUCUCUGCUCCGCUCACAUCUGUCCUCUCGGAGGCGCCGGGGUUGGAGGGGCUCCCUCUACCGGACUGAGACUGAAGCUCUUCGCUCUGACAAGAAGUGAGUGUCUCCAGGGACAGGAAGAAUGAAGCUCAUCUGGGCAGCCCUUGUCUUGGUGGACUUGGGGGGCCCUGUGGGUGGUGCCCAGUUCGUGCGGCUGUGCCUGCUCAUAGUGCCUUGACCAUCCCAGGCAGGGCCAGUGUGAGAAGAUGAGACAGAAUAAGGCCGUGGUGUGGCUACUGGCAGCGCCAUUCAGUGUAACGUGGCCUACCCAGAGAAAGCCUUACAACGGUGUUUUGUCUUCCUUUCUUACAUACUGUAGUGUGAAAUAUCUGUCUUCAUUGGGCUGUAACAAAAGCGAUGCAUCAUGACAUAAUAAAAAGUCUGCUGUGGUCCUAAGAAAAACGUUGAAACUGAAUACUUUCAGACCCUGAAUGUCGUGCUGUACUCACAAGGAGAAAUUAAUGAUUUAUUGCUUUGCCUAUUUGACUUCAUAAAAGUUUUAUGUCUCCGCAUUUUAAAUACUAUCCUUUGGCUGUCAGCCAGACCCUCAUCUUCCAAAAAUGUACUCCUGGGAGGAUUACUGAGAUUGGCUACAGCCCGCCCUGGAAAAUUGCUUGGUAUUAAACAAUUUCAUUUCCUAGCUUCCUUUUGUUUAGAAAAUUUAGAAGUUUCCCUAUAGACAGGAGAAAUUCAGCACUUAUUCUACCUAUAGACUUUCAAAUCAGAUCCUAGGUACUAUCGGAGUCCAAGGUUAUUUGCAUCUUUUUUACCCAGCCAUCUUUGCCCAUUUCCAUUCCUGCCUUAGAAACUUUGCUCUUCUCCAAGAUGUCCAGGUGCCCAGAUCCCUCUCAUCUUAUCUUGACUCAAAUGCCAACUUCUGGAGGAGACUCAUGCUGACCAGCCUAUCUAGCAAUGUGUGUGUCUUCCUUUUGCUAGAAUGGAAGCUCUGUGAGGCAAGGGUCUUUGUCUUAUUUAUUCAUUCACUGGUAAUUCUCCAAGUGUCUAGCACAGUACCUGAUGUUUAGUAGGGACAUGUAAUGCAAAGAGCAUUUCUUAAGUUAAUAAAUGAUAAUAACCAAGCUUUGAAUGUUAAAGAUGGAAGGAACCUUAGAAAAUAUUUGGUUCCAUGGUGAGAAAAUUUUUUCCCCAAGAGAGUUAAUUCAAGAAGAGUACAAAGAGAUUUAUGAGCAGAAUUUUUUUCAUUCAAAAUUAAAAUCCCAAGAGAGAAUAAUGUUCUUAAAUUUUAACCACCUACUUAAUUAUAUAGAAGAACAAUGAUGAGAAAUUUCAGUGAGAGUUGAGAUGGAAUAAGUACUCCUCACUGAUCACUCGGAGCUCCCACCACAUUUUAUAGAGUAGGAAGAGAUUGCCCAGAGAAGAGAAAUUUUUUUUUCUUCCUCAAAGUUGAGUAGCUGAUUGGAGAGAUUAAAGAAUAGACCUGAGAUAUCUUCAUUUCCACUGAUAUUCCUUCCACUGGCAAGAGAAAAAAAAACAAAAAAACCUCCAAACCCCAAGAAACCAGGCUUUAGUAUUUUUCUACUCAAUUAAACUUAAACAGGCAUUG
RNAcentral lists this long non-coding RNA (5045 nucleotides) under Chinchilla lanigera (long-tailed chinchilla). RNAcentral's name for it is "lncRNA (ENSCLAG00000027665.1)". Lineage: Eukaryota; Metazoa; Chordata; Mammalia; Rodentia; Chinchillidae. The record is from RNAcentral.